Molecule: ribosomal RNA, 253 nt
Filed under: uncultured Herminiimonas sp.
Lineage: Bacteria; Pseudomonadati; Pseudomonadota; Betaproteobacteria; Burkholderiales; Oxalobacteraceae
Description: partial 16S ribosomal RNA
Rfam family: Bacterial small subunit ribosomal RNA
Source: RNAcentral
UACGUAGGGUGCAAGCGUUAAUCGGAAUUACUGGGCGUAAAGCGUGCGCAGGCGGUUAUGUAAGUCAGCUGUGAAAUCCCCGGGCUUAACCUGGGAAUGGCAGUUGAGACUGCAUGGCUAGAGUGUGUCAGAGGGGGGUAGAAUUCCACGUGUAGCAGUGAAAUGCGUAGAGAUGUGGAGGAAUACCGAUGGCGAAGGCAGCCCCCUGGGAUAACACUGACGCUCAUGCACGAAAGCGUGGGGAGCAAACAGG